AUCGGCGGGUCGGAAGUUGAGAAAUGGAGAAAGCAUUGAAAAUCUACCGGAAGUUCUGAGAUUGGUGAGGAGGUUGAAGAAAAUUCCCUCUCGGCUGAUCAGAAAAGUAAUAGGGAAGGAAGGGUGUUGAAUCACCCAGAAGAUUCGCGAAGAGACCAAGGCCAAUAUCAAAAUCGCCGACGCCAUUGUUAGACAUGAGGGACGUGUGAUUAUAAUAAGCUCAAAGGAUAGUGAUGAUUCGAGUAGUGAUGCUGAGAAAGCGUUGCAGCAUAUAGCUGGAUUGAUUCUGAAUGGGUGUUCAAUGGAUGUUACUUUGUGUAUUCUGGGUUGACAUGGUGAAGUUUGAAUUGUCAAGUCGUUGGGUUCGAAUGCUUUUUCAUGUUAGUGAAUUUGUAACAAAAAAUGAAUAAUUAUGUCAAUUUACAGGCACUGAAGUAUUUACUUUAAUUUGA
This is a long non-coding RNA of Malus domestica (apple), 452 nucleotides long. RefSeq lists it as uncharacterized. Lineage: Eukaryota; Viridiplantae; Streptophyta; Magnoliopsida; Rosales; Rosaceae. The record is from RefSeq and is a predicted model, not a curated record.